UGUUUGUAUACAUCGCAAAGAUCAGUCAUCGAUGGUCGCCACGGCUUGCCGACAUUAUGACAAAUACCAAUAUGGUGCAAUAUUCGGGAACAUUGAAGUAGUCUAGUGCAGUAGUACUUCAGCUAUGAUUCAGACGACUCGGGUUCGAUUCCGCUCUGGUUUAUUUGCCCAACUCGGGCCAAAUGAGAGCUCGUCCUCUUUGGCCGGCGUCCCGUCGCCCCUUUCCGCAACAUCGACGACAAGGAUGCUAACACCUUGCUAGCCGUGCUAGCUCCGACCGGAGGCUUUGAACGUCUCCUGCGAGUUUCAACGGCAACACAACUCGUUUUAUUCGGCGCAUAACUGCAUCUACAAAAAACGUCUCAAACUUUUUCAGCAUUUGGAUAAAACGGCCGUUUUGCACCAAGUGCACAGCUUGAAAUUGGCUUGAAUCUUCAACUGAACGUCCGACUUGACUGAAUUCCUGACUGGCUGUUCAAAUCUUCAACAAAAUGGCUGACUCGCUGUGACGUUUGGUGGGGGGGCCUUUUGGGACUUUGGCGCCGCCAUCCUCGCUGGGGAGGGAAAAAAGUUUCCUUUGCUUCAGGAUGAGCUGACCAGGCGGCCUCCAACUGAGACGUCCUCACGGUUCAGGAAGAAGACACGGAAACCACCGAAGGAGGGGAAGGACACCCAGGUCCCAUUGGGGACUUGGCCACCAAGAUCCUGCACCUGCUGGGCAAAAACAAAACUGAACAUGCAGAAGGUCUCUUGGUCAGCAGUUCUGCAGUCACGGGGACCUGAGGAACGAGAUGUUACCCCAAAGUCGCACUCCAGCCAGAACAAGGUCUUGACCUUUUUGCUCCUGGACACUUGGAUGUUCUUGCUACCAACGUCCACCGGGUGGUGCUGAAGAAUCCUGGAGAACCUGAUCGCGGCUCAGCUGGUGAAGUCAAUCUCAAAGCCUGGAACCUGUUGGAAAACAGACCGAAUUUACAGUUUGUCGCUGUAGGUGGCGGAAACCUGGCGUCAACUUGAGUUCCCCCAAAGUUGCACUCGGAGAUGUGCUCCAGCAAAAACCCUCAAGAUUUUACCUGGACAUUUGAAUGUUCUUGAAGUCAAAGUCUGUCAGGUGGCAGAAAUGUGGAGUGAUGGUCAACUUCCUGUCCAACAUGUUGAGAUCACCUUCCGGUCCAAGUGCCAUCGGGACUGCCACCAAGAUCCUGCACCGACUGGGCAAAAGAAGAAAUCCACAUGAAUAG
Molecule: long non-coding RNA, 1241 nt
Organism: Syngnathoides biaculeatus (alligator pipefish)
Lineage: Eukaryota; Metazoa; Chordata; Actinopteri; Syngnathiformes; Syngnathidae
Exons: 15
Source: RefSeq, a predicted model, not a curated record